This 232-nucleotide long non-coding RNA is filed under the name Haliotis rufescens (red abalone). RNAcentral's name for it is "uncharacterized LOC125377420". Lineage: Eukaryota; Metazoa; Mollusca; Gastropoda; Lepetellida; Haliotidae. The record is from RNAcentral.
GCAUGUCUGUGUGCGUAUUAUAUACAUUUUACUUAAUUGUGUCAUUUCAUUAUUAGGCAUAGAGGCACAUAUAAAGCCAUACUGUUGGCACUGACGUGAUGAGCCUGCGUCCCUGAGACGAGGGAAUUAUCAUCCAUAGCCAUAUUGUGGUGGGAUCUCCAUAUCCCUGAUAUGAACAGACCGAAUAAAUCCCAUGAACCCCCAAACAAGUAUUCGUCGUCAUUACCUAGAC